GGUUGUCCUGCCAUGAUUCUUCGCCACAGUGUGACCCUUACUGUCUUUAGGGAGCUCCAGUACAGUGAGAUAGGUGUCCCACAGGAGUGAGGCUUCCUUUGUGCUUACUACAAAACAAACAAGCAGUGAGAGGCAGAUCCAGGCACAAACCUAUCACAGUGCAUUUUGCAGCCUUCCAUACACAGAUGUGCACUUUGCCCAUGUUUGCGUGCAGCAAUUCUGCUGGUCUGGGGAAGGAUGGCUUUUAUUUUGAGUACUCACACUGUAUGACAGGCCACAGGUGCUGUCAGAAGAGAGUACAUGGACACUGUUGCUCAGACAUCUACAAAGAGAAGGCAGGAAAAGGUAUGAAGAGAGCUGGUAUGAAGGCUGCCUAUUUUGGGGGUGAGAAAUGAAGGAUUAAAGAAAAAAUUUCAGCAUUCUUUGGAAGGAAUGCAGAAAUUUUCCUGACUCUUUGUAGCACAGAAUUUUGUCUAAAGAAUCUUGUCCAUGAAAUUGACUAAUGAGUUAGGAUUUGUCUGUGACAUUUUGUUAAGCCUCUUUCAUUUGUAGACGUCUCCAAACACUCUAUGGAACUAACGUAAACAUACCUAGACUCAUUGAUAGAAGUUAGGUACCUAAAACACUUCAGAGGGCUUUUCUAUAAAUUCUCAUCCCCAUGAUGCAAAAUGAAUAAUCAAAUGGCCAAAAAGAAAAUUUAACUCUAAAAACAUAUCGUAAUGCUAGAUUGACGUGGUCUACCCAUGAUUCCAGAUCUGCAUACAGAAUUCAUAGGUGGACUGUAUUUCACCAUAGGUGGAACUGACACUCCAAGUAUAAAAAGUGCAAAUACUGAGAGGUGCAAAAUCUGUACUGAGAGCCAGACCUAAAAGGUAUGCCAAAACAGCAGACAGAGGGCAAGUCUCGGGCC
Molecule: long non-coding RNA, 910 nt
Filed under: Numida meleagris (helmeted guineafowl)
Lineage: Eukaryota; Metazoa; Chordata; Aves; Galliformes; Numididae
Description: lncRNA (ENSNMEG00000004702.1)
Source: RNAcentral